UGAGCGUUAUAGACGUAGUAACAACGAAUGAUGAGAAGUCAGCCGAUGCCAUAGUAGCGAUGAAAUUUCUGUAAUGGAAGUAGAGCGAAGGGC
Molecule: non-coding RNA, 93 nt
Organism: Streptococcus dysgalactiae subsp. equisimilis RE378
Lineage: Bacteria; Bacillati; Bacillota; Bacilli; Lactobacillales; Streptococcaceae
Source: Rfam